GGUAUAGCUCAGUUGGUAGAGCACGGGAUUGUGGUUCCUGAGGCCAUGGGUUCGAGCCCCGUUAC
This 65-nucleotide transfer RNA is filed under the name pig gut metagenome. It matches the Rfam family "tRNA", at positions 5 to 66 of the family's 71-position model. From Rfam's summary of the family: Transfer RNA (tRNA) molecules are approximately 80 nucleotides in length. The record is from RNAcentral.